This 282-nucleotide ribosomal RNA is filed under the name Hydroides elegans (calcareous tube worm). RNAcentral describes it as "partial small subunit ribosomal RNA". It matches the Rfam family "Eukaryotic small subunit ribosomal RNA", at positions 602 to 883 of the family's 1831-position model. The record is from RNAcentral. Lineage: Eukaryota; Metazoa; Annelida; Polychaeta; Sabellida; Serpulidae.
UAUUAAAGUUGCUGCAGUUAAAAAGCUCGUAGUUGGAUCUCGGUGUACCUGGUCUAGCCGGUAUAGCUCACGCUAAAACUGGUCUGACCCCCCAACGUGAGGUAUUCGUCUCCGGGUGCACUUCAGUGUGUGCUCGUGAGGAGCCUCGUAGUUACUGUGAAAGAAUUAGAGUGUUCAAAGCAGGCUCAUAUGUUCGGAUAGUCGUGCAUGGAAUAACUGAAUACGUGACUGGCGCUUUUCAGUUGGGCUCGGCGACUGGUCAAAUGAGUAAGAGGGACUGCC